RNAcentral lists this ribosomal RNA (468 nucleotides) under uncultured bacterium. RNAcentral's name for it is "partial 16S ribosomal RNA". It matches the Rfam family "Bacterial small subunit ribosomal RNA", at positions 28 to 507 of the family's 1533-position model. The record is from RNAcentral.
GACGAACGCUGGCGGCGUGCUUAACACAUGCAAGUCGAACGGAAAGGCCCUGCUUUUGUUGGGUUCUCGAGUGGCGAACGGGUGAGUAACACGUGAGUAACCUGCCCUUGACUGUGGGAUAACUUCUGGAAACUGGGGCUAUUACCGGAUAGGAGAUCCUGCUGCAUGUUGGGGGUUGGAAAGUUUCGGCGGUUGGGGAUAGACUCGCGGCUUAUCAGCUUGUUGGUGGGGUAGGGGCUUACCCAGGCUUUGACGGGUAGCCGGCCUGAGAGGGUGACCGGCCACAUUGGGACUGAGAUACGGCCCAGACUGCUACGGGAGGCAGCAGUGGGGAAUAGUGCACAAUGGGCGGAAGCCUGAUGCAGCAACGCCGCGUGCGGGAUGACGGCCUUCGGGGUGUAAACCGCUUUCGCCUGUGACGAAGCGUGAGUGACGGUAAUGGGUAAAGAAGCACCGGCUAACUACGUG